AAGGUCAGGCUGAAGACUUACCCGAUUAGCUGAGAGGUGGUGCAUGGCCGUCGUCAGUUCGUACUGUGAAGCAUCCUGUUAAGUCAGGCACGAGCGAGACCCACGUCCACAGUUGCCAGCAUACCCUCCGGGGUGAUGGGUACACUGUGGAGACCGCCGCUGCUAAAGCGGAGGAAGGAGUGGGCAACGGUAGGUCAGUAUGCCCCGAAUCUCCCGGGCUACACGCGGGCUACAAUGGUUGGUACAAUGGGCAUCUACCCCGAAAGGGGAAGGAAAUCUCUUAAAGCCAAUCGUAGUUCGGAUUGAGGGCUGCAACUCGCCCUCAUGAAGCUGGAAUCCGUAGUAAUCGCGUUUCAACAGAACGCGGUGAAUACGUCCCUGCUCCUU
This 387-nucleotide ribosomal RNA is filed under the name uncultured Methanosaeta sp. RNAcentral describes it as "bacterial SSU rRNA". It matches the Rfam family "Archaeal small subunit ribosomal RNA", at positions 950 to 1338 of the family's 1478-position model. Lineage: Archaea; Methanobacteriati; Methanobacteriota; Methanomicrobia; Methanotrichales; Methanotrichaceae. The record is from RNAcentral.